AGUACUUAUUUGAGGUUACCAUCCAGCUCUGGCAAUGGGUACGUUUUCUUUUAAAGGAUAAGGUAAAAUAUCUUUUUAAAUAGGAUGCUUUGUAUCUAACCAGUGAGGGGACUUAAAGGGAGAUAGAUUCUGAUCAAAUAUAGGCAGUACUGGAAUUCCCACUAACAGAAUUAGCAGCAUCUUGGGAGUGCUAGAACACAGGCUCGAUCCCUGGCCCGGCACUGUAGGUUAAGGAUUUGGCAUUGCUGCAGCUGCAGCUUAGGUUGCAACUGCAGCUCAAAUCUGAUCCCUGGUCCCUGGGAACUCUAUAUGCCACAGGAUGGACAUAAAAGAAAAAAAUAUAUAGGCAGUGUUUACAUUAAAAUCAGGGAAAACCUGAGCCAAGUUAUGAAAAAGGCCUGGAAAGGUGAAGUUUGAAAAUUAAUAAACCACAAAGCUGGGUGCAGGCCAGGAGGGGUUGGGUACCAAACUAAAGACUACAUAAAUAAGAUAUGCAGACGUAGCAGGCUGUCUCCUAAGGUCAGAAUGGAGUCUGAGCUGUGGACCCCUAGUGGACAGGAGGUCAGGCAGGCUACCCAAGAACAUCAGGUUGGCCGGCCCCACCAUGGGGAGCAGCAGGUUCUUAUUUUACAUUCAUAAGUCCCUGACAAAUUGGCCAAGAAUUCCUAUCCAGCUAUUGGUGAGACAGACAGUCCAAAACAACCAUCAGUGUGUAAGUCAGAUAAAACAAUAGCAACAGGCCAAGAGGCUCAGCAUGAGUCCAGGCCCACUGCUUUGCAGCAAGUAUCACUUUACACUGAGAAUGCAUUCAGUAACACUUAAGAAGGUUCUCGGAGCUUUCUUCACUCUGUUGGAGAUGGUUGUGAGACGCACAGAGCCUGAGAGACUUCCUCCAACCUAGACUAAGUUCACAUCACCAUCCAUACGCUUUACACGCACCAGUGUUUGAUACGCAUCAUGUUUAUUCUUUUACAAUAAAAGUUCCUCAACAGCUUGGCUAUAUGCUUUUUAGAAAAGUCUUUUUGAAAAACAAUCUUACAUUGUUGCAUUUGCCUCUUAGUACUCUUACUGAAUGAAUAUGCAUCUCUUUUGUGGCCUUUCCACUAAAAAUUUUCCCCAAGACAGAAAUGUUUUUUGGUGGCUCCAAACAAUUUCUGUUACUGAGUCAUAGACACUAUCAGAGCAGUGUUAAAAUUCAUCAUCUUUUUCUUUCCAUAUGAUUAAUGUUUUAAAAACAUGCUAGUAAAACGUAAAACUUAACAUAUCUGAACCCAAAAAAAAAAAAAAAAAAGCGCUUAAAGUGCUGAUUUUUAAAUCCUGGAAAUAAGAUUAGUACAAUUUAGAGGUCGUUUUUUUCCACAUCUGCAGAGUACUUCAACUGGUCAUCGUUUCUUGGGUGGAUUACAUCUCGUUUCAUCUGCUGUUGACUCAGAAGGCUGAGGCAAGAGGUUCCCAAUUUCUUUUUUAACCACAAUGAACUACUUUUCUUAAGUUCCAAGCACUCCCACCUACACAGACACUAAGUUCUGGAAGGUUCUGCCAACCAAUACUUAAUUUGUGAAGUAUUAAUUAAUUCCUACAUAAUAUCUACUGACUGCCAAUCAGAGCUCAUAGACUGAAAUAUUUAUGGCCCAAAGACAAGGAACUUGACAGUCUGAGUAAGCCCUAAAGUAUUAUCUCAUGCAAGCUACUGGAUUAACUUUAGACCUUUGGCAAUAUAAAAUACAACCUGAUGAAGUACAUACUUGAAGCUGUGUCCCCAGCAUCUUUUCUGCCACAAAUAGGACCAAGUGACUGGUGAGGUCACCAGUUCUGGAGAGGCUGACUCCAUCCCAGUUCUAGGGGUAGAAAAAUAUCACCAAGGGUAUGCCAAUUAAGACAUCCCACCUCCCUGGCCAUUGGGAGGGUGUAAUGUGCUGGAAACUCACCCAAUUAGAGUUUCAAGAAUCUUGCUGAAAAUCUUAAGAUUCCUCUUUCCCCUCUUCCUCCUUGGCAUGUUCAGAGAAUCCUAUAGCCCAGCAGCUGCUGGGAACCAUCUUAGGACUGUACAUAGGGUGAAUCUAAAGAGCAGCCAGCUCCACUGUGGAAAACAGAGCAGAGACAAAGAGCUGAAUCAAAUCUCUCCUGCAGUUCACCCACUAAGGACUUGCCAGUGACACUGCUGAAGCUGCCGGAACUGGACUUUCUGUUGCUUACCACCCAAGUCCUCCUAACAUAAAUCCUGAAAAACUCUAGGAUUAUAUUUCCUAAUGCCCUGGAAUUCUAAGACCCCAGGCAUUGGGGACCACUGCUCUGGUGAUAAACAGAUUUAGAUGGGAGUAUCAUAAUGUGUAAAAUAAUCGAUAAGUGUGUAUUUCCAGGAUGGCUGGAUAUUUUUCAGAGUUUCUGUAACCCCAGGUCAGGGGCAUCAGCAUGAAAAUUACAAAAGAUAAUAACAUCAGGAAACUGCCUCAUCAAAUUAUAAGGUGGCCACGCUGACUGACACUACAAGGGUGAAGUGACAUGAGGAGAAGAGCUGGCUUCAGGUGACUCACCAAAGGCAAAGGCUUUCAGCUGGAUCUGCACCAAAAGGCACCACUUACCCAUUUUGUGAAUAUCCUUCAUUUGCAGGGGAAAAAAGGAGAAUUCACUAUCAUAGAAGACUUGCUUUAAAAAGGGCAUAAGAGUGGUAAACUCUACAAGGAAGAUAAGAUGAUCAAAGGAACAAACAAAAUGGUGUUAAGUGUUCCUGUAAACUAGGUGUUGGUAAGGCUCAGAUUUUGGUUUUAUGCUCCAAAUUGAGAGACAGACUGUUGACCUAGUAUAAGAAAAUAAGUAUCAGAGUUCCCGUCAUGGCUCAGUGGUUAACAAAUCGACUAGGAACCAUGAGGUUGCGGGUUCAAUCCCUGGCCUUCCUCAGUGGGUUAGGGAUCCGGAGUUGCCGUGAGCUGUGGUGUAGGCUGCAGACGCGGCAUGGAUCCCACGUUGCUGUGGCUGUGGUUUAGGCCAGCAGCAACAGCUCCAAUUGGACCCCUAGCCUGGGAACCUCCAGAGGACACGGUUGCGGCCCUAGAAAUGGCAAGAUGACAAAAAAAAAAAAGAAAAAAGAAAAAAGAAAAUAAGUAUCAAUAAGAAAAUACCGGUAUUGAUAGCAUGCCCAUUGAAGGCCUCUAUGUAACUCAAGACAUAACCUAGUUAUUUGCUGAUUAAAGGGGAACCACUGAAAAGAAUGGAGUUAAAUGGGUAGGGCCAAAAUUGGAACAAAACCCUAAUAUGUGUUUCAGCACAAAGUAGUCCUCGUUUUCGCCACAUGUGAAGGAGAGGGACAGGGACAGGGAAGAGGAGGAAGUGGCAUCUAUGCAUAUGCAGAGGUGAAAAGAUGAUCCUUUUACCGGUCAGAAGUCCUUCCUGAUAUGCUGCUUUUAAUGUGGAAGACAAGGUCUUAGCAACCAAGCCUGAGAAGAGAUAGCUGCAGCUGCAGCUCAGAUGCAAUCUCUGGCCCAGAAGCUUCCAUAUGCCACAGGUGUGGCCAGGAAGAAAGAAAGAAAGAAGUAUGAGCCAGUAACAAAACAGAAAAAUGAGAGAAGUAAAAACAGAUAUGAGAAGACAGAAGAAAGGACAAGUUUGCAGGUCGCGACCUACAAAGAAAGCUAUCCAAGGAUAGGUUCAGAGUAGGCAAAUGUAAAUUUCAAGAACAAACCUAUGGAACAUUUGAAUCUGAUGCAAACUUCCUUGGACUCCCUCAGGUUCAAUGCCUUGUGUGAGCUGUGUUGGACGGAAAUCAUGGAGAGGAGCUCAUUUCCAACUAUGAGAGGAGAAAAGAUCAUAGGCAUGAGCAGAGAGACUAUCCUCAACCAAAAUCAAUCAUGAAAAUGAAGCCUCUAGAAAUUCUCAUUGGAAGUCCCACAGGGAAUAAGACAAAGGCGCAAGCCAAUGUUAUUAGAAUCUCAAACGUCAGGGUGACCUCCGUUGAUAAAUGACUCCUCAAACCAUUAUGACAAAGCCCUCAGCAACAUGGCCAAGUAGAGACUCCCAGGAGAAACGUGGAUGAUACCUCAAGUGACACAAGCGUGAAGACCUGCACAAUUGUGUUAAAUCCACUGUCAUAAAAUGAGUAUCACCACCAAU
RNAcentral lists this long non-coding RNA (4107 nucleotides) under Sus scrofa (pig). RNAcentral's name for it is "lncRNA (ENSSSCG00050038647.1)". Lineage: Eukaryota; Metazoa; Chordata; Mammalia; Artiodactyla; Suidae. The record is from RNAcentral.